This 159-nucleotide ribosomal RNA is filed under the name uncultured bacterium. RNAcentral describes it as "partial 16S ribosomal RNA". It matches the Rfam family "Bacterial small subunit ribosomal RNA", at positions 374 to 526 of the family's 1533-position model. The record is from RNAcentral.
GGGGCAACCCUGAUCCAGCAUGCCGCGUGUGUGAAGAAGGCCUUCGGGUUGUAAAGCACUUUAGUUGGGGAAGAAGAUAUUUUGUUUAAGAGAUGGGAUAUUUGACGGUACCCAAAGAAUAAGCACCGGCUAACUCUGUGCCAGCAGACGCGGUAAUAC